Non-coding RNA from Podarcis lilfordi (Lilford's wall lizard), 75 nucleotides. NCBI's taxonomy places the organism in Eukaryota, Metazoa, Chordata, Lepidosauria, Squamata, Lacertidae. The record is from the annotation of a GenBank genome assembly.
AUAUAUAUAUAUAUAUACACACACUAUAUAUAUACUGUAUAUACUGUGUGUGUGUGUGUAUAUAUAUAUAUAUAU